AGGGCACAGCAAGAAGGUGGCUACAAGUCAGGAAGCAUUCUCACCAGAAAGCUAUGAGGCUUUGAAAAACUGGCUCAGAACACUCAGAAGAAUGCAGAAAUAAGAAUAAGACUUUGUUUUACCAACGUACCUCAGUGGACCACCUUCCAAAGUCAAUUAAAUCAUGGCAUAUUGCCUGAGAAGUGCAUCUCAUGAGCUGCUUAUGCCCAGGUACCUUUUCUUCAUUUCUGGAAUAAAUCUCAAAUUAAGAGUGUUACUAUUACUCAGUCUGCAUUUCUAGUUGGCUCUCAUUCCCAUACCUGUAAUGCUCAACCUACGUGUUUCUUCCUUUUCAAAUAUCACUCAUCUGUCAUGACUCCCCUAAAAGCUCCCUCCUUUUAAAAGACCUCUAUCCCAUUCUCUUCAGAAAGUGGAAUUUCCUUCCGAGCCACCAUGUCACUUUGUACGUCCACUGUUCAUUCAUCAUAAUCUUGACUAUAUCACAAUUGGCUUUAUAUUUAACCAUUACUACUCCUCAAAUUGUAUCUCUUA
This is a non-coding RNA of Delphinapterus leucas (beluga whale), 531 nucleotides long. NCBI's taxonomy places the organism in Eukaryota, Metazoa, Chordata, Mammalia, Artiodactyla, Monodontidae. The record is from RefSeq and is a predicted model, not a curated record.